RNAcentral lists this long non-coding RNA (443 nucleotides) under Mytilus galloprovincialis (Mediterranean mussel). The record is from RNAcentral. Lineage: Eukaryota; Metazoa; Mollusca; Bivalvia; Mytilida; Mytilidae.
UACGUUCUCCUAUUUAUUUGUAUUGUAGUCCUGUAAUAUUCUGUUGUCAUUUUAAUGUUAAUAUAUUUAACAUUGCCAUUAAAGUACGAGGUUUGGCAUGCCACAAAACCAGGUUCAACCCACCAUUUUUUUUUUUAAAAAUGUCCUGUACCAAGUCAGGAAUAUGGCCAUUGUUAUAUUAUAGUUCGUUUCUGUGUUACAUUUUAACGUUGUGUUUCCGCUGUGUCGUUUGUUUUCUCUUAUUUUUUAGUGUGAAUCCACAUUACUAUAAGACGUGUCACGGUACUUAUAUAUCCCAAAUUCAUGUAUUUGAUUUUGAUGUUAUAUUUGUUAUUCUCAUAGGAUUUUGUCUAAUGCUUAGUCCGUUUCUGUGUGUGUUACAUUUUAAUGUUGUGUCGUUGUGCUCCUCUUAUAUUUAAUGCGUUUCCCUCAGUUUUAUUUUG